GACAGAGGGUGCAAACGUUGUUCGGAAUUACUGGGCGUAAAGCGUGUGUAGGCGGCUUUGCAAGUCGGAUGUGAAAGCCCCGGGCUCAACCCGGGAAGUGCACUCGAUACUGCAGAGCUUGAGUGUCGGAGAGGUUGGUGGAAUUCUCGGUGUAGAGGUGAAAUUCGUAGAUAUCGAGAGGAACACCGGCGGCGAAGGCGGCCCACUGGAUCGGUACUGACGCUGAGGUGCGAAAGCGUGGGGAGCAAACAGG
RNAcentral lists this ribosomal RNA (253 nucleotides) under uncultured bacterium. RNAcentral describes it as "partial 16S ribosomal RNA". It matches the Rfam family "Bacterial small subunit ribosomal RNA", at positions 524 to 776 of the family's 1533-position model. The record is from RNAcentral.